Molecule: ribosomal RNA, 119 nt
Filed under: Balearica regulorum gibbericeps (East African grey crowned-crane)
Lineage: Eukaryota; Metazoa; Chordata; Aves; Gruiformes; Gruidae
Source: RNAcentral
CCCUACAGCCAUACCAGCCUGAGAACACCCAAUCUCAUCUCAUGUCGGAAGCUAAGCAGGGUCUGGCCCGGUUAGUACUUGGAAUGGAGACCUCCUAGGAAUACCGGGUGCUGUAGGCU